This 274-nucleotide ribosomal RNA is filed under the name uncultured bacterium. RNAcentral's name for it is "partial 16S ribosomal RNA". It matches the Rfam family "Bacterial small subunit ribosomal RNA", at positions 523 to 796 of the family's 1533-position model. The record is from RNAcentral.
AUACGGAGGGAGCAAGCGUUAUUCGGAAUCACUGGGCGUAAAGGACGCGUAGGCGGGUUUGUAAGUCAGGUGUGAAAUCCUACAGCUCAACUGUAGAACUGCACUUGAAACUACAGACCUAGAGUAUGGAAGGUGCAGAUGGAAUUAGUGGUGUAGAGGUAAAAUCCGUAGAUAUCACUAGGAAUACCGAAAGCGAAGGCGAUCUGCUGGGACAUUACUGACGCUGAGGCGUGAAAGCGUGGGGAGCAAACAGGAUUAGAAACCCUUGUAGUCC